This 544-nucleotide ribosomal RNA is filed under the name uncultured Eurotiomycetes. Its description in RNAcentral is "SSU rRNA". It matches the Rfam family "Eukaryotic small subunit ribosomal RNA", at positions 548 to 1098 of the family's 1831-position model. The record is from RNAcentral. Lineage: Eukaryota; Fungi; Ascomycota; Eurotiomycetes.
UUGGAGGGCAAGUCUGGUGCCAGCAGCCGCGGUAAUUCCAGCUCCAAUAGCGUAUAUUAAAGUUGUUGCAGUUAAAAAGCUCGUAGUUGAACCUUGGGUCUGGCUGGCCGGUCCGCCUCACCGCGAGUACUGGUCCGGCUGGACCUUUCCUUCUGGGGAACCUCAUGGCCUUCACUGGCUGUGGGGGGAACCAGGACUUUUACUGUGAAAAAAUUAGAGUGUUCAAAGCAGGCCUUUGCUCGAAUACAUUAGCAUGGAAUAAUAGAAUAGGACGUGCGGUUCUAUUUUGUUGGUUUCUAGGACCGCCGUAAUGAUUAAUAGGGAUAGUCGGGGGCGUCAGUAUUCAGCUGUCAGAGGUGAAAUUCUUGGAUUUGCUGAAGACUAACUACUGCGAAAGCAUUCGCCAAGGAUGUUUUCAUUAAUCAGGGAACGAAAGUUAGGGGAUCGAAGACGAUCAGAUACCGUCGUAGUCUUAACCAUAAACUAUGCCGACUAGGGAUCGGACGGGAUUCUAUAAUGACCCGUUCGGCGCCUUACGGGAAAC